CAGAGAUGCUACUUUUAUAGAAAGUAUUAUUUAAGUGUCCUUGCUUGGGUACUAGGGAGUGUUACACAAUGGUUCACUGGCACUAAGCUCACCAUACUUAUGUUGGGGAGCAAGACCUGAUAGCCAGCCUUUACAUGGGAGUAUAAUUCUGUCCUCCAUCUCAUAAGCCCCAGUACCUGAGCCAGAAUGAUUAUAACCAACCACACUGUCUCUUUAUCAUGGAUGGCUUUAGCAGUAGGUUAUUUUCAUCAUUGCCAUUUGUAGCUCUACAGUGGUUUAUAGUAAUUUCUCAUCUUUUAAGUCUCUCCCUCAGUGCCUGUUGUUAUCAAACUCAUUGCUCUCUCAGGCAGUUGAGCUCUGCAUUUCUCCCUUAUGGGGAGAGCUGUGUUGGAGAGAGAGAAUAUAACUUCAAAUGAAAAUAAAGAAAAACAGAAUUUCUUGAUUUUGAGGUGAGAAUUUGAGGGCACUGCCUCUGUCAGUUCCUAUCACAGAUUCUGGCACAUAGUAGGUUCUCAGUUAGUAAAUUGUGGUGGAGAGAGAGAGCCAGAGGAAACAGCAGGCUUGCUCAGCCAUUAAAGAAAACAGCAACAGUCAAUAUUAUGUGCUCAACUAUAUAAGUAAGACCUUGUGAGUGCUGUAGAGGUUAAAAGACAUAAUAGAUGGUGUCUACCCUUGAGGGUCUUGCUCUGUUGUUGGGAAAGAGGAUUACAUCUAACAAUUAACAAUAAUGAGAUAACAUGCUGAGCAUCAGAUAAGAGCUUUACAUUGAGUUAAUCUCAGUUUCAUUUCCAUUAAAAUCUGGUUUUCUUAACAGGUAGAUGUUGAAACCAAAUAUAAUAGUUCCCUUAUGGCAGGGAACAUGAUUCUUAAGGAUAAAGGCUCUCAUAGCAUUUAUACUUUUAUGUACACACAUUUAUAUAUUAUACUUAAUAUAUGAGGUUUUAUAUAUAUUUGUGUGAUUAUUAAAUGACUGUCUGCUGGCACUACACUACAAUAAGUACCGUGAAGGCAGGGAGAAUGUCUCCUUUUGGUUAUAUUUCUUCCCUCAGUGCCUGCACAUAGUAGGGAGCAUAGUGAAUAUUUAUUAACUGAGGGGAGGAAUCCCCCAUCAACCUGGCCACAUUAUUUUGGGAGAUGGCUCAUUCCUGUUGAUGCGUUUAAGGCUGACAGUUCAUUCGGUAACCUAUGUCUAUAGCAUAUCUGAGCUGCUAGAGGGAUUGUCGUUUAAAUGAAAUGUAAACUAUAGCCCUAUCCACUUCUCCUCAUUACUCAUUAAGGUUAUAUUAGCUAGUCAGACUCCAACUUGGGCAAUUAUCUUUUUAAAGUUUCUACAUCUUAAAUUGUUGCCCAUAGUUGCCCAAGUCUCCCUUAGGCUCCAGGCUCAGCAAUUGUAAAUGCAUUUAAUUUCUUAUAAAUUAUUUGCAUGCUGCUGAAAACCUCCAAGGGCUUUUCAUUGCCCAUUUAGGUAAGGACUGGUAUUCCAUGUUCUGUAAAUAAGAUACCCAGCUUACCUACCUGCUUUUUCGCCUCCUUCCUGACAUUAACCUUCCAGUUACUAUACACCCUUGUAUUAGUCCCAAGUCAUGUCUUACAUGGAUGGCAGCAGGCAAAGAGAGAGAGCUUGUGCAGGGAAACUCCUGUUUUUAAAACCAUCAGAUCUUGCAAGACUUAUUCACUAUCACGAGAACAGCAUGGGAAAGACCUGUCCCCGUGAUUCAAUUACCUCCCACCGAGUUCCUGCCACAACACAUGGGAAUUACAAUUCAAGAUGAGAUUUGGGUGGAGACACAGCCAAACUAUAUUAUUCUGCUCCUGGCCCCUCCCAAAUCUCAUGUCCUCACAUUUCAAAACCAAUCGUGCCUUGUCUUAACUCAUUUCAGCAUUAACUCAGAAGUCCACAGUGCAAAGUCUCAUCUGGGACAAGACAAGUCCUUUCUGCCUAUGAGCCUGUAAAAUCAAAAGCAAGUUAGUUACUUCCUAGAUAGAGUGGGGGUACAGGCAUUGGAUAAACACAGCCAUUCCAAAUGGGAGAAAUCGGUCAAAAAAAGGGGCUACAGGCCUCAUGCAAGUCCAAAAUCCAGCAGGGCAGUCAAAUCUAAAAGCCCUGUAAUGAUCUCCUUUGACUCCAUGUCUCACAUAGAGGUCAUGCUGAUACAAAAGGUGGGUUCCUUUGGUCUUGCAUAGCUCUACCCUUGUGGCUUUGCAAGGUACAGCCUCCUUCCUGGCUGCUUUCACAGGCUGGCAUUGAGUGUCUGCAGCUUUUCCAGGUGCACAGUGCAAGAUGUCAGUCAGUGGAUCUACCAUUCUGGGGUCUGCAGGAUGGUGGCACUCUUCUCACAGCUCCACUAGAGAGGGCCCCAGUAGAGACUGUGUGGGGGCUCUGACCCCACAUUUCCUGUCUGCACUGCCGUAGCAGAGGUCCUCCAUGAGGGCCCUGUCCCUUCAGCAAACUUCUCCCUGGACAUACAGGUGUUUCCAUACUCCAUCCUCUGAAAUCUAGGCAGAGGUUCCCAAACCCCAAUUCUUGACUUCUGUUCACUCCCAGGCUCAAUACCAUGAGGAAGCUGCCAAGGCUUGGGGCUGGCACCCCUGGGCCCAGCCCACAAGACCAGUUUUUCCUCCUAGGCCUCUGGGUCUGUGAUGGGAACAGCUGCUGUGAAGAUCUCUGACAUGCCCUGGAGACAUUUUCCCCAUUGUCUUGGGGAUUAACAUUCGGCUUCUCAUUACUUAUGCAAAUCUCUGCAGCUGGCUUGAAUUUCUUCUCAGAAAAUGGGAUUUUCUUUUCUAUCACAUUGUCAGGCUACAAAUUUUCUGAACUUUUAUGCUCUGCUUCUCUUAUAAAACUGAAUGCCUUUUACAGCACCCAAGUCACCUCUUGAAUGCUUUGCUGCUUAGAAAUUUCUUCCUCCAGAUACCCUAAAUCAUCUCUGUGAAGUUCAAAGUUCCACUUAUCUCUAGCGUAGGGGCAAAAUGCUGCCAAUCUCUUUGCUGAAACGUAACAGGAGUCACCUUUGCUCUAGUUCUCAACAAGUUCCUCAUCUCCAUCUGAGACCACCUCAGCCUGGACUUUAUUGUCCAUAUCAUUAUCAGCAUUUUGGGCAAAGCCAUUCAACAAGUCCUUAGGAAGUUUGAAACUUUCCCACAUUUUUCUGUCUUCUUCUGAGCCCUUCAAAUUGUUCCAACCUCUGCCUGUUACCUAGUUCCAAAGUUGCUUCCACAUUUUCAGGUAUCUUUUCAGCAGUGCCCUACUCUACUGGUACCAAUUUACUGCAUUUAGUCCAUUUUCAUGCUGCUGAUAAAGACAUACCUGAGACUGGGCAAUUUACAAAAGAAAGAGGUUUAAUGACUUACAGUUACAUAUGGCUGGGGAGGCCUCACAAUCAUGGUGGAAGGCAAGGAGAAGCAAGUCACGUUUUACAUGGAUGGCAGCAGGCGAAGAGAACUUGUGCAGGGAAACUGCUGUUUUUAAAACCAUCAGCUCUCACGAAAUUUAUUCCCUAUCACAAGAACAACAUGGGAAAGACCAACCCCCAUGAUUCAAUUACUGCUCACUAGGUUCCUCCCCCGACACAUGGGAAUUGUGGGAGUUAAAUUCAAGAUGAGAUUUGGGUAGGGACACAGCCAAACCAUAUCAACCCCUCUUCUGUUUGCCCAGGAAUUUCAUUCUCAGCUUAUCUGAGUGCUUUGCUUUUCUCAAGGUCCAACCCCAGCCACACUGCCCAGGUGACUUGGGGGUUCCAUAUUGAUGAGCCCUGCUCACAAGGCCUACCUGCAGCCUGUCCUCUAUUUCCUGAGUUCCCCCCUUCCCUCAGUCUCCAGCUCCUUGCCUUAGAGGCCAAUAUCAAAUACUGCCCCUCCCUUAGAACUCUCCCUUGAACCUCUGUGGCCUUUUGUGGGACCUCUCCUCAGUCUCCCUAAUUUCUGUGAUUAACUUAUCACCUAACAUUUUUCGCAUCUUGAGAUUCGGAAGGAUAGAGAUUGAUUACUAGGCCUUGCCUUUAGCAUUUUUGUUUUCUCCAACAAAAUUGCAAAAACUUUAGAAAAAUGGGAAGAAGAAAAAACAUGAAUCCCUCCUUCCUCUAACACAACUACAGCCUUCCCUUUGGCUAUGACAAAUGCUGCCCAACAGAAAUUUAGCAUGAGUCACAAUU
RNAcentral lists this long non-coding RNA (4151 nucleotides) under Homo sapiens (human). RNAcentral's name for it is "HSALNT0377531". The record is from RNAcentral. Lineage: Eukaryota; Metazoa; Chordata; Mammalia; Primates; Hominidae.